CGGGAUAUAGCUCAGCUUGGUAGAGCACCUGCUUUGGGAGCAGGGUGUCGCAGGUUCAAAUCCUGCUAUCCCGA
RNAcentral lists this transfer RNA (74 nucleotides) under Navicula tsukamotoi. RNAcentral describes it as "tRNA-Pro". It matches the Rfam family "tRNA". From Rfam's summary of the family: Transfer RNA (tRNA) molecules are approximately 80 nucleotides in length. Their secondary structure includes four short double-helical elements and three loops (D, anti-codon, and T loops). The record is from RNAcentral. Lineage: Eukaryota; Bacillariophyta; Bacillariophyceae; Naviculales; Naviculaceae.